This 1764-nucleotide long non-coding RNA is filed under the name Apis mellifera (honey bee). RNAcentral describes it as "uncharacterized LOC102654115". The record is from RNAcentral. Lineage: Eukaryota; Metazoa; Arthropoda; Insecta; Hymenoptera; Apidae.
GUAGGCUAAUUCGGCGCCCCUUCUUUUCCAGGUUUCCAAAUAAACGGUGGCCCAGAUUACGUUGAAGACCGAGAAAAGUACAUAAGCCACGUCUUCGACCGCUUGAUUCCUGCCGAUGAUGCCGAUCUGCAUUUACAUUGAAAUGGGAUAUAAUUUCUCUUUUUACCCAAUAUAUGGCACCCACUGCAGCUGGAACAAUCAGGGCGGUGGUGUAAUGGCCGAGCCACGCGAAGUACAUGGCCAACCUGAGAUAUGAUCCCAGCGGAAAUGCACUUUGGAAUAAUUGCUUGGCCCUCGACCAUUUUAAGCCCGGGUAAACUGUGAAGAUCCUGGGGUCCCGCUCUGAGCGUGUGAAGCAGAUGAAGAACGAGUGAUUGCCUCUCUUGGGUGGUGAAGAAUCGAGCCUCGUCGUCGCUACCUUCGAAACAGCUCGACUCGGAGCCUACGAAUUCCUUCAAUCCUCCGCCAAACUCUUGUCGCAGGGUCUUCGGGAAGAAGGUUAGAACAACAACUUACACGCUAAAGGGAGCUGUUAAGUAGAAGCCGUAACUGUCAGACGAGGCGUGAUGCCGCACGUGCACCACCAGGCCUGGAGUUCCGGCACGAAGUCGACCUAGCAGCCACAUCAGGGUCUCGUCGCUCGUUCCACUUGGGAACAUCACCACGACGUCGCAUUCCUGCCGAUAAGCAUUCGUAUUCUUCACCGAUAUCUUGAUCAUCAUCCACAAAUCUUUGUUAUAAAUUUGUGAAUUCACAUUUCUAUCUCUAGUUCCUUGAAUUUCUAUAUGUAUUCUUAUAUAUUUUGAAUAAUUAUUAGUAUUUAUUAUAGUUUAUAUAUAGUGGAAUUGUAAAGUUCUGGCACGAAGUUAAUCUAGCAGCCAUAUUUUAAUCAUCAUCCAUAAAUCUUUGUAUAAAUUUUUGAAUUCACAUUUCUAUCUCUAGUUCCUCGAAUUUCUAUAUAUAUUCCUAUGUAUUUUGAAUAAUUAUUAGUAUUUAUUAUAGUCUAUAUAUAAUGGAAUUGUAAAGUUCUGGAAUAAUUAAUCUAGCAGCUAUAUCAGGGUUCGAUAAUCAUUCAUAUUCUUGACCAAUAUUUAUUGAACAUUUAUCAAUCUGUAUAAAUUUGUGAAUUCACAUUUCUAUUUCUAGUUCCUCGAAUUCUUUUUUUUCGAAUAGUUAGUAAUAUUUAGUUUAUAUAUAUAAAUUCUAAUAUCUCGAAUUCCUAUAUAUUUCGAAUAAUUAUUAGUAUUUAGUAUAUAUAAUGGAAUUGUAAAGUUUUGGCACGAAGUUAAUCUAGCAGCUAUAUCAGGGUUCGAUAAUCAUUCGUAUUCUUGACCAAUAUUUUAAUCAUCAUCCAUAAAUCUUUGUAUAAAUUUAUUCACAUUUCUAUCUCUAGUUCCUCGAAUUUCUAUAUAUAUUCUUAUAUAUUUAAAUAAUAUUAGUAUUUAGUCUAUAUAUAUAUAUAUAUAUAUAUAUGGUAUUGUAAAGUUUUGGCACGAAGUAAUCUAGCAUCUACAUCAGGAUUUGAUAAUCAUUUGUAUUCUUGACCAAUAUUUUAAUCAUUAUCCAUAAAUCUUUGUAUAAAUUUGUUCACAUUUCUAUCUCGAAUUCUUUUUUUUCGAAUAAUUAAUAGUAUUUAGUUUAUAUAUAUAUUUUAAUUCCUCGAAUUCUUAUACAUAGUCCUAUAUAUUUCGAAUAAUUAUUAGUAUUUAGUUUAUAUAUAGUGAAAUUGUAAAGUUUUUUGGACAUCAUCACGACGUCGCAUUC